CAGGGAGACAACAAAAUGUUUAAUAUUAUUAUUUUGUCACCUUAGGUCGAUCGGUAUCUCACGUUCUUAAUUAAUUAAGAAUUUCAUUUCCUAAGUUUUUCUAGGUCACACCCAUUAUUUUUCCUGGGCCAUUAGCUCAGGUGGUUAGAGCGCACCCCUGAUAAGGGUGAGGUCCCUGGUUCAAGUCCAGGAUGGCCCAUAUCUCUAUGUUGGGGGUAUAGCUCAGUUGGUAGAGCGCCUGCUUUGCAAGCAGGAUGUCAGCGGUUCGAGUCCGCUUACCUCCACUGAUUACCACCUCUUCCAUAAUUUAUAGAAAGGAAAUCUUUUGAGUUGUGAUCAAAUUCUGAACGAAUCUAGCUUCCUAAUGAAAUCAUUAAGAUGCUGGACUCAUUGAAUUAAUUUCAUUGUUUUCAGAGAACCUUGACAACUGCAUAGAUUAUUUUUAAAGACAAUAAGCAUCUUUAAUGAUGCAGAUUUAUUAUUUGUGCAAAUGCAUAAAUAACAAUUCUAUUAAGCUGAUGCUUCAAUAUUUGAAGUUAUU
RNAcentral lists this transfer RNA (541 nucleotides) under uncultured cyanobacterium. RNAcentral's name for it is "partial contains 16S ribosomal RNA, 16S-23S ribosomal RNA intergenic spacer, and 23S ribosomal RNA". The stretch from base 212 to 284 matches the Rfam family "tRNA". Lineage: Bacteria; Bacillati; Cyanobacteriota. The record is from RNAcentral.